AUUGAACGCUGGCGGCAUGCCUUACACAUGCAAGUCGAACGGCAGCACGGGAGCAAUCCUGGUGGCGAGUGGCGAACGGGUGAGUAAAGUAUCGGAACGUGCCCAGUCGUGGGGGAUAACGUAGCGAAAGUUACGCUAAUACCGCAUACGAUCUAUGGAUGAAAGCGGGGGAUCGCAAGACCUCGCGCGAUUGGAGCGGCCGAUAUCAGAUUAGGUAGUUGGUGGGGUAAAGGCUCACCAAGCCGACGAUCUGUAGCUGGUCUGAGAGGACGACCAGCCACACUGGGACUGAGACACGGCCCAGACUCCUACGGGAGGCAGCAGUGGGGAACUUUGGACAAUGGGCGAAAGCCUGAUCCAGCCAUGCCGCGUGCAGGAUGAGGGCCUUCGGGUUGUAAACUGCUUUUGUACGGAACGAAAAGGUUUGGGCUAAUAAGCUGAGCUCAUGACGGUACCGUAAGAAUAAGCACCGGCUAACUACGUGCCAGCCGCCGCAGUAA
This 500-nucleotide ribosomal RNA is filed under the name uncultured bacterium. Its description in RNAcentral is "partial 16S ribosomal RNA". It matches the Rfam family "Bacterial small subunit ribosomal RNA", at positions 30 to 523 of the family's 1533-position model. The record is from RNAcentral.